AGUGUAGGCGGCUAUUUAAGUCGGAUGUGAAAGCCCUGGGCUCAACCUGGGAAUUGCAUUCGAAACUGGGUAGCUAGAGUUUGGUAGAGGUAAGUGGAAUUCCGGGUGUAGCGGUGAAAUGCGUAGAUAUCCGGAGGAACAUCAGUGGCGAAGGCGGCUUACUGGACCAAAACUGACGCUGAGGCUCGAAAGCGUGGGGAGCAAACAGGAUUAGAUACCCUGGUAGUCC
Molecule: ribosomal RNA, 229 nt
Filed under: uncultured bacterium
Lineage: Bacteria
Description: partial 16S ribosomal RNA
Rfam family: Bacterial small subunit ribosomal RNA
Source: RNAcentral